Molecule: transfer RNA, 96 nt
Filed under: Nemania serpens
Lineage: Eukaryota; Fungi; Ascomycota; Sordariomycetes; Xylariales; Xylariaceae
Description: tRNA-Ile
Rfam family: tRNA
About the family: Transfer RNA (tRNA) molecules are approximately 80 nucleotides in length.
Source: RNAcentral
GGUCGGUUAGCUCAGUUGGUUAGAGCGUCGUACUAAUACAAUAUCAUACUGUAUCAAGUAAUGCGAAGGUCAUGGGUUCGACCCCCAUACUGACCA